UUCGUCUAUAUGGAGAAAGG
RNAcentral lists this microRNA (20 nucleotides) under Nematostella vectensis (starlet sea anemone). RNAcentral describes it as "nve-miR-9429-3p". Lineage: Eukaryota; Metazoa; Cnidaria; Anthozoa; Actiniaria; Edwardsiidae. The record is from miRBase by way of RNAcentral.